Molecule: ribosomal RNA, 453 nt
Filed under: uncultured bacterium
Lineage: Bacteria
Description: bacterial SSU rRNA
Rfam family: Bacterial small subunit ribosomal RNA
Source: RNAcentral
CCUGAACGCUGGCGGCGUGGCUAAGACAUGCAAGUCGCACGCACGUAGCAAUACGUGAGUGGCGAACGGGUGAGUAAUGUAUCGCUAACGUACCCCGGACUCCGGGAUAGCUGCCCGAAAGGGCAGGUAAUACCGGAUGAGACCCCGAACAGGCAUCUGUUUGUGCUCAAAGGUCCGCCGGUCUGGGAGCGGGCGAUAUCGUAUCAGCUAGUUGGCGGGGUAACGGCCCACCAAGGCGACGACGCGUAGCCGGACUGAGAGGUCGGUCGGCCACAUCGGGACUGAGACACUGCCCGGACUCCUACGGGGGGCUGCAGUAACGAAUCUUCCCCAAUGCACGCAAGUGUGAGGGAGCGACGCCGCGUGGAGGACGAAGUCCUUCGGGAUGUAAACUCCUGUCAGGGGCUACCAAGUUCUGAGGGGCCCCAGAGGAAGGCACGGCUAACUCUGUGC